GUGGGGAAUAUUGGACAAUGGGCGAAAGCCUGAUCCAGCCAUGCCGCGUGUGUGAAGAAGGUCUUCGGAUUGUAAAGCACUUUAAGUUGGGAGGAAGGGCAGUAAGUUAAUACCUUGCUGUUUUGACGUUACCGACAGAAUAAGCACCGGCUAACUUCGUGCCAGCAGCCGCGGUAAUACGAAGGGUGCAAGCGUUAAUCGGAAUUACUGGGCGUAAAGCGCGCGUAGGUGGUUUUGUAAGUUGGAGGUGAAAUCCCCGGGCUCAACCUGGGACCUGCCUCCAAAACUGCAUGACUAGAGUACGGUAGAGGGUAGUGGAAUUUCCUGUGUAGCGGUGAAAUGCGUAGAGAUCUGGAGGAAUACCGAUGGCGAAGGCAGCCAUCUGGCCUAAUACUGACACUGAGGUGCGAAAGCAUGGGGAGCAAACAGGAUUAGAUACCCGUGUAGUCC
Molecule: ribosomal RNA, 450 nt
Filed under: uncultured bacterium
Lineage: Bacteria
Description: partial 16S ribosomal RNA
Rfam family: Bacterial small subunit ribosomal RNA
Source: RNAcentral